RNAcentral lists this non-coding RNA (29 nucleotides) under Cricetulus griseus (Chinese hamster). The record is from RNAcentral. Lineage: Eukaryota; Metazoa; Chordata; Mammalia; Rodentia; Cricetidae.
UCUUUGUGGAAGAGGAGGAACACUUUCUG